Physcomitrium patens is the source of this 151-nucleotide non-coding RNA. The record is from RefSeq and is a predicted model, not a curated record. Lineage: Eukaryota; Viridiplantae; Streptophyta; Bryopsida; Funariales; Funariaceae.
CAGAACGCCUACUUCAGGAAACAAUCUCAACCAAGCAGCAGUAGCAAGCUUUGCUGAUCUUUCAAGAGAUGGGAGGUGAAUCAAUUGCUGAAGGGUGGGAUGCAGGCCCUGUCCGGCAUUCGCUGCUUGAGUGGGCCUCAGGGCGAAGUGA